AUGCACUUUCAUGAAAGAGACAACUUGAAGAGAUCCCUCUGCAUUUCAGACAUCACAUAUCACAAUUUGGUAGCAUUAAUAGAGACAGAGGGAUAUGGGCUGAAUGAUUACAUUUACUUUGUGAGGGAGCCUGGUGUGGGUAUUGAAGGAUUGGUAGAAAUUUCUGAUGAUGACAAGGUGGAUGAAAUGCUUGACCAUAUUGCUAAUAAGGAUCAGACUGUAGUGAAUUUGACAGUGAUUAGGGCCACUGAUCCAAGACCUGCAGAUUUGAAUGCAGGAUAUUUGUAUGAGGAGCGGGUUCCUUCGAGUCAAUUAGGAGAAAAACUUGUCUAUGAAGUCAAUCCUUCUGGAGUUCUAUUCAGAUCACCUGAGAAAUCAAAUAAACAGAGGCAGUCAGAGCCACUUCAGUUCUUUUCCACACAGCAGAGCACAAACUUAGAUAUUGCUAUGGAGCAAGAUGAGCAGGAGACACUAAUGGAGCUAAAGAGGAGAACCAAGAUUGAGAACUUUAGGAAACAUAAGGAGGCAUCUGAGCAUGUUCAAAUGGUUAAGCAAAAACUACCAGUUCUUCUAACUGAAGAUGACUCUGAUCUGGAUGCAGCAGAUGAGGACUUUGUUAAAAGGCUUAAUGAUUUGAGGAGGCAGAGAGAGGAUCCACUCCUUCAUUUUGAAGGAGACACUGAUGUGGAUGAAGUGUAUGGGGAAGAUGAGCAAGUGGAGCAAGUGGAGGAGGAUGAGCAGAUGGAGCAUGAGGAGGAGGAGCAGGUGGAGCAACAACAGGAGCCACCAAAGAAGAAGGAAAAAAGAAAAGGGCCAACCAAGAGGUCACAUUCAAGCUUGGAGCAAAGAUUUGAGGAUGUGUAG
This 864-nucleotide ribosomal RNA is filed under the name Triticum aestivum (bread wheat). Its description in RNAcentral is "partial small subunit ribosomal RNA". The record is from RNAcentral. Lineage: Eukaryota; Viridiplantae; Streptophyta; Magnoliopsida; Poales; Poaceae.